RNAcentral lists this ribosomal RNA (508 nucleotides) under uncultured Glomus. RNAcentral's name for it is "SSU rRNA". It matches the Rfam family "Eukaryotic small subunit ribosomal RNA", at positions 569 to 1078 of the family's 1831-position model. Lineage: Eukaryota; Fungi; Glomeromycota; Glomeromycetes; Glomerales; Glomeraceae. The record is from RNAcentral.
AGCAGCCGCGGUAAUUCCAGCUCCAAUAGCGUAUAUUAAAGUUGUUGCAGUUAAAAAGCUCGUAGUUGAAUUUCGGGGUCAGUAGGCUGGUCGUGCCACAGGUACGCACUGGUCUCACUGAUUCCUCCUUCCUGAUGAACCGUAAUGCCAUUAAUUUGGUGUUGCGGGGAGACUGGACUGUUACUUUGAAAAAAUUAGAGUGUUUAAAGCAGGCUAACGCUUGAAUACAUUAGCAUGGAAUAAUGAAAUAGGACGUUCGGUCUUAUUUUGUUGGUUUCUAAGAUUGACGUAAUGAUUAAUAGGGAUAGUUGGGGGCAUUAGUAUUCAAUUGUCAGAGGUGAAAUUCUUGGAUUUAUUGAAGACUAACUACUGCGAAAGCAUUUGCCAAGGAUGUUUUCAUUAAUCAAGAACGAAAGUUAGGGGAUCGAAGACGAUCAGAUACCGUCGUAGUCUUAACCAUAAACUAUGCCGACUAGGGAUCGGAUGAUGUUAAUUUUUUAAUGACUCA